Molecule: ribosomal RNA, 466 nt
Filed under: uncultured bacterium
Lineage: Bacteria
Description: partial 16S ribosomal RNA
Rfam family: Bacterial small subunit ribosomal RNA
Source: RNAcentral
GAUGAACGCUGGCGGCGUGCUUAACACAUGCAAGUCGAACGGAAAGGCUCCUGCUUGCAGGGGUACUCGAGUGGCGAACGGGUGAGUAACACGUGGGUGAUCUGCCCUGCACUUCGGGAUAAGCCUAGGAAACUGGGGCUAAUACCGGAUAGGACGAUGUGUUGGAUGCCAUUGUGGGAAGUUUUUCGGUGUGGGAGGAGCGCGCGGCCUAUCAGCUUGUUGGUGGGGUAAUGGCCUACCAAGGCGUCGACGGGUAGCCGGCCUGGGAGGGUGUACGGCCACAUUGGGACUGAGGUUCGGCCCAGACUCCUACGGGAGGCAGCAGUGGGGAAUAUUGCACAAUGGGCGCAAGCCUGAUGCAGCGACGCCGCGGGGGGGAUGACGGCCUUCGGGUUGUAAACCCCUUUCGCUAGGGACCAAGCGUUUUGUGACGGUACCUGGAGAAGAAGCACCGGCUAACUACGUG